This 497-nucleotide long non-coding RNA is filed under the name Mustela putorius furo (domestic ferret). Its description in RNAcentral is "lncRNA (ENSMPUG00000028215.1)". The record is from RNAcentral. Lineage: Eukaryota; Metazoa; Chordata; Mammalia; Carnivora; Mustelidae.
UGUGGCUCCAUCCCAGGACCCUGGGAUCAUGACCUGAGCCGAAGGCAGUCGCUCAACCAACUGAGCCACCCAGGCUUGGGUGCAAAUCAAAGUCAUCUGUGCUAACUGAAUUCAAUGGAAACAUACAUCAACGAUACCAGCUUGGCCUCUGCACACUGAGGUAGAUUAGACUAAACAUUUCACCACACCCCCUUAAACAGCUUUAAGGUUACUGGCACAUUGUAGAGGUCCCGCUCACCCUGUCUUCUAUAAUGUUAAACAUAUUUCAGUAAAAGUUGGUUUGUAUAGAGAGGCUUUAGAGAAAAUGAAAAGAAUAUAAAAUAAGGAUAGAGUUGUUUGUAAUAAACAUAUAGAAUAUAUAUCUAUUAGAACACUAUCCUUAAAACAAUCACAUUGAGAAGAUGAUUAUAUUAGAGUUCCAUUGCUCAACACGUCACUAAGGCUCCUUUCUAGGAACUAGCACCAGAGCCAUUUCUGUGAUCACAAACUGUGAUCAG